AUCCUCCUCCCGGCCCCCGGCAGCUGCGGCUCGGGGAGCAGCCGGCGGCGCCGCGGCCGCGCAGCCUUUGUCUCGGGCCGCCGGGCGCGCGGGGCCCAGCGCAGGCGUAAGUGACCGGUGGCCGGGCCGCGGGGGGUCGGCGGGGAGCGGGCUGGGGGUCGCGGGCGCUCCCUGCAGUGGGGAGGCCGGGCCGGCCAGAUCCUCCCGCCACGCGUGUCCCGGGAUGCUCGGGCGGUGCCGGCGCGCGGGGGCGCGAGGAGAGCCGAGCGGGGCCACCGCCCGGGAGGGCGCGGGACGCAGAGAGGGGCUCGGGGCCCGCCGGGCCGCGGGGUCGGGGGAGGGGGUGCAGGCUCGCGGGGCGCCGCAGCUUGGCGCCCACAGACGUGCGGCUUGGGUGCAAAUCCUGUUUCUCUGGGCAGAGGCCACGCGGGGACGGAGGAGGCAGAGAGGACGGGCUGUGAUGGAGAAACGGGAGAGGAGCCGGCCAGGCGCCACCGUCACCACCAUCACCAACCACCACCACCAUCACCAUCACUGACUGUCGCCCAUCCCAGCUCCCCUGCCUCACCUCCCAUCUCAUAUCCCUGUGCAGUGCCAACUUUAUCAGAUCAUCUCUUUUUCACUGGGCCCCAGGGACGGCUGACCAUUCAGAACAAACACAGGGACAGAGCCCCAGGGCUGUUGGGAAGCCCAGCACCAGAGGGCAUGAACCUUCUUAGGAGAAGUAAAACUUACAAAAAACAAGCUCUUAAACCCUCC
Molecule: long non-coding RNA, 759 nt
Filed under: Homo sapiens (human)
Lineage: Eukaryota; Metazoa; Chordata; Mammalia; Primates; Hominidae
Description: non-protein coding LINC01918:20
Source: RNAcentral